This 255-nucleotide ribosomal RNA is filed under the name Salmonella enterica subsp. enterica serovar Senftenberg. RNAcentral describes it as "partial 16S ribosomal RNA". It matches the Rfam family "Bacterial small subunit ribosomal RNA", at positions 873 to 1127 of the family's 1533-position model. Lineage: Bacteria; Pseudomonadati; Pseudomonadota; Gammaproteobacteria; Enterobacterales; Enterobacteriaceae. The record is from RNAcentral.
CUGGGGAGUACGGCCGCAAGGUUAAAACUCAAAUGAAUUGACGGGGGCCCGCACAAGCGGUGGAGCAUGUGGUUUAAUUCGAUGCAACGCGAAGAACCUUACCUGGUCUUGACAUCCACGGAAGAAUUCAGAGAUGGAUUUGUGCCUUCGGGAACCGUGAGACAGGUGCUGCAUGGCUGUCGUCAGCUCGUGUUGUGAAAUGUUGGGUUAAGUCCCGCAACGAGCGCAACCCUUAUCCUUUGUUGCCAGCGGUCC